AUGACCACAACUAAAGAAUCAUUGUGGAAUCUGAAAAGAUACAUAUCCCAAAAGCAUGAUGCUAUACUUACUAUGAACACUAUCCAUCCCUUUCUAUCCACCACUUUCUAUCCACCCCUUUCUAUCCACCCCUUUCUAUCCACCCCUUUCUAUCCACCCCUUUCUAUCCACCACUUUCUAUCUAUCCCUUUCUAUCCACCACUUUCUAUCCACCCCUUUCUAUCCAUCCCUUUCUAUCUAUCCACCACUUUCUAUCCACCCCUUUCUAUCCAUCCCUGUCUAUCCACCCCUUUCUAUCCUCCACUUUCUAUCCAUCCCUGUCUAUCCACCCCUUUCUAUCCACCACUUUCUAUCCACCCCUUUCUAUCCACCCCUUUCUAUCCACCCCUUUCUAUCCACCCCUUUCUAUCCACCACUUUCUAUCUAUCCCUUUCUAUCCAUCACUUUCUAUCCACCCCUUUCUAUUCAUCCCUUUCUAUCCACCCCUUUCUAUCUAUCCACCACUUUCUAUCCACCCCUUUCUAUCCAUCCCUGUCUAUCCACCCCUUUCUAUCUAUCCAACACUUUCUAUCUAUCCACCCCUUUCUAUCAACCACUUUCUAUCCAUCCCUGUCUAUCCACCCCUUUCUAUCUAUCCACCACUUUCUAUCUAUCCACCCCUUUCUAUCCAUCCCUUUCUAUCCACCACUUUCUAUUCAUCCCUUUCUAUACACCCAUUUCUAUCUACCACUUUCUAUCAGCACCUUCUAUCAUCAAUUUCUAUCCACCACUUUCUAUCAGCACUUUCUAUCAGCACUUUCUAUCCACCCCUUUCUAUCAGCACUUUCUAUCCACCCCUUUCUAUCAGCACCUUCUAUCAUCAAUUUAUUUCCACCACUUUCUAUCAGCACUUUCUAUCCACCCCUUUCUAUCAGCACUUUCUAUCCACCCCUUUCUAUCAGCACUUUCUAUCCACCCCUUUCGAUCAGCAGUUUCUAUCCACCCCUGUCUAUCCAUCCUUUUUCUAUCCAUCCCUUUCUAUCAGCACUUUUUAUGCACCCUUUUCUAUCCACCCCUUUCUAUCCAUCCCUUUUCUAUCCACCCCUUUCUAUCAGCAGUUUCUAUCCACCCCUUUCUAUCCAUCCCUUUUCUAUCCACCCCUUUCUAUCAGCAGUUUCUAUCCUCCCCUUUCUAUCCAUCCCUUUUCUAUCCACCAAUUUCUAUCAGCACUUUCUAUCCACCCCUUUCUAUCCACCACUUUCUAUCCACCCCUAUGUAUCCAUCCCUUUCUAUCCACCACUUUCUAUCCACCCCUAUGUAUCCAUCCCUUUCUAUCCACCCCUUUCUAUCCACCCCUUUCUAUCCACCACUUUCUGUCCACCACUUUCUAUCCACCCCUAUGUAUCCAUCCCUUUCUAUCCACCCCUUUCUAUCCACCACUUUCUAUCCACCCCUAUGUAUCCAUCCCUUUCUAUCCACCCCUUUCUAUCCACCCCUUUCUAUCCACCACUUUCUGUCCACCCCUAUGUAUCCAUCCCUUUCUAUCCACCCCUUUCUAUCCACCCCUUUCUAUCCACCACCUUUCUAUCCACCCCUUUCUAUCCAUACCAUUCUAUCCACCACUUUCUAUCCAUACAAUUCUAUCUACCCCUAUGUAUCCAUCCCUUUCUAUUUACCACUUUCUUUCCAGCACUUUCUAUCCAGCUGUCACGUUCUGACCUUAGUUCCUUUUUUAUGUCUUUGUGUUAG
Molecule: long non-coding RNA, 1728 nt
Filed under: Oncorhynchus mykiss (rainbow trout)
Lineage: Eukaryota; Metazoa; Chordata; Actinopteri; Salmoniformes; Salmonidae
Description: lncRNA (ENSOMYG00000053879.1)
Source: RNAcentral